ACACAAGUGAGCGGAGAGCAUGAUUUCUGAAUGACAAGGAGGACGGUUUAUUGGGAGUUGACAGGUGCAGGAGGAAGGGCUGGGCUGGACCAGGGUCGCGGGGGGAGACCCUCGCGGGGGUCCUGUGGCUCCAGGCCCCUGAGGGUGGGGGCCCAGGGACCUAGGCGCACUCGGAGGGCGUCACUGUCUUCUCCACAAUGGUCCCCUCGUGGGUGACCUGGCAGGUGAAGCCGCUGGAAGAUUUCCAGUCACUGGCGGACAGGGCCAGGUAGCUGCUGGCCGCGUACUUGUUGUUGCUCUGUUUCGAGGGCUUGGUGGUCUCCACGCCCUGGGUGACGGUGGUGCCGCCUGCCUUCCAGGUGAAGCCGCUGGAAGAUUUCCAGUCACUGGCGGACAGGGCCAGGUAGCUGCUGGCCGCGUACUUGUUGUUGCUCUGUUUCGAGGGCUUGGUGGUCUCCACGCCCUGGUGACGGUGGUGCCGCCUGCCUUCCAGGUCACCGUCACGGCGCCCGGGUAGAAGUCACUUAUUAGACACACCAGGGUGGCCUUGUUGGUGCCGAGCUCCUCAGAGGAGGGCGGAAGAGGUUGACCGUGGGAGCGGCCUUGGGCUGACCUGGGGUCGGGGAGAGACGGGAGGUCGUUGGCUCAGUGUCCAUCAGGGGAAUCCCCUG
RNAcentral lists this long non-coding RNA (671 nucleotides) under Sus scrofa (pig). Its description in RNAcentral is "lncRNA (ENSSSCG00070016406.1)". The record is from RNAcentral. Lineage: Eukaryota; Metazoa; Chordata; Mammalia; Artiodactyla; Suidae.